Molecule: long non-coding RNA, 206 nt
Filed under: Hordeum vulgare
Lineage: Eukaryota; Viridiplantae; Streptophyta; Magnoliopsida; Poales; Poaceae
Description: long non-coding RNA (HVUL_LNC003967)
Source: RNAcentral
UUUGAUAGUUUGCUUGUGUGGGUUUUAAAUCGAAAACUUUCUCUUUCUUUCAAGACUCAUCACCUUGUUCGAAAUCUUGGCACACUAACCAUAGCAUGUCUAUAGGACCUAAAAUAAUUCUUAAAAAAUACUAUUUCUACCAAAAGCUUUUAUUUAAUUUAUGCUUAAAAAAACCCGAGUUCCCAUUUCUACUACAAGUCCUCAAA